UACUUUGUCCGUCGCCGAUGCCCAAGC
RNAcentral lists this small RNA (27 nucleotides) under Bombyx mori (domestic silkworm). RNAcentral's name for it is "ovarian small RNA-6234". Lineage: Eukaryota; Metazoa; Arthropoda; Insecta; Lepidoptera; Bombycidae. The record is from RNAcentral.